GAAGAGGAAGCGCCGAAAGAUGAGACAGAGAUCGAAGUAGAACCACAUUCUGCAGUUCUCAACGGUCUAUUUAUGCUUAUCGUCUUCGUUAGGCUUAUGCUGUUUAAGCUUUAGUUUGAAACUUCCAGUAACAUUUUGAGUUUUGAUUUUGUUCUAAUCACACCGAAUACAAAUUUUUGGUAUCCGAUUUUGGCUAUGGAUUUAUGCUUCAUAUUAU
This 217-nucleotide unclassified non-coding RNA is filed under the name Hevea brasiliensis (rubber tree). The record is from RNAcentral. Lineage: Eukaryota; Viridiplantae; Streptophyta; Magnoliopsida; Malpighiales; Euphorbiaceae.